Anas platyrhynchos (mallard) is the source of this 2137-nucleotide non-coding RNA. Lineage: Eukaryota; Metazoa; Chordata; Aves; Anseriformes; Anatidae. The record is from RefSeq and is a predicted model, not a curated record.
GCUGAGUACCACCCACACGUGGAUCUGCAGCACCCACUGCAGCCAAGAGCCGAGCACAAACCUGUGAACAACGAGGAAAUGUACAGCACUGCACCUGUACCUCGGCAAGAAAGCUCAGCCCGAGUGUUUUAAUGAAACAGUUGGUAUCACCGGGAGGAGGGGUGAGAAUACUCUGCAGCAGGCAGCCCCUUGCUGGAAAUGUUGACUAGCAGCAGGCAGAGGGGGCUCACGCAGGAUCCCACCAGACACAUCUUUCCAUUUCUGAUGCUGAGCUACCAGAUCUGCUUUUCUGGAUGAUGGCAGCAUAUCCAGCUCUCACGCAGUUUGUCAGAGGUGCAGCACUGGAUCUGUGGCUCUGGUUUGGUAGCUGUGAUGCCUACAGAUAAAUAAUAAGGCUAAACCAGCCCAGGGAGCACGGAAUGCACAGGCUCACACCGGCGUCUUUCAGGCCUUGCAGCAAAGGCUUAUGAGGAGAUAAUCCCAACGUGCCUUCACCGCAUCAGCAGCUGAACUCCUUGCUCCCAGUGGAUCUUGGAGUCGUCUGACAAAAUUAAACAUAUGAUGCUUGAUGUUGCAAAUGCCUUAUUGAAGGCAGUUCCUUAGGAAAAGCAGGGCAGAGAUAGCAUGAAGCCUUCCCUCCAUCAGGAAACUUCUGUGAAGAAAUGACUGGCACGUUGCACAUCUCAUCUUAUUUUUCAAUUAAGAUUUUAUUUUAUGGUCAGAGUGAACAAUUACACGUGCUGACAUUGUUAACUGGAAUGAUCACCCUACAACUUCAGGAUUGCACUUUCAGCUCAGCACUCGGUAUUGCUCUCCAUUUCGCUGUGAAGUGCACAAAAAGUCAUUAUGUCAGGAAAUGUGGAGUUAUAAAGAAAAGGUGAACUUGGGAAUGCACAGGGGUAGCCAUGCUUUGAGGAGCCCUGGCUACCCGCUGAGAUACGGAGGUGAGACUGAUAGACAUAUGCAGGAAUUUAUAGGUAGAUUAAAAUAUCUUCCGUGGCAGCCAGAUGAACCUGGAGAAAGGGUGAUGAAAAUGCUGGCAGGCCACCAACAUGCUGUUGGGAUUCAUUCUGAUGAUAUUAUGAAGCUCGGGGUGCCCAGUGCACCCGUAGCUCAUGGUUGUUGUGCCUUGCCCCUGGGGUCCAGGCAGCCUGCUGCAGGGAUGGGGCACGAAGCACGAGGUGCGUUAUCAGGGUACAGCCCUACACCACAGCAGUUUCCUCAUUUCUUUGAAGUAUUUUGAAUUUUGCAGCUCAGCCACGUCUGCAUGAUAAAAAUGUAGGGUCUGGCUCUGAGCAGCAGUGAAGAUAAGGGCAAAUACCCACACUGCGUUCUUUCAUCUUUAUCUCCCCUACAAAAGUUGCGUGCAUCUAACGGUGAUGUUAAAAUUCAUAAUUCUCUGCUUUCCUCUGAUGGAAAGAUGUUUCAGUAAGUAUAAGCCCUUGGCAAAGUAUCAUUGCAAUAAGUAAAAAAGAAAAAACACACACACAAAAUAAAAACAAAAAUCCCCUUACUCUUAAAUCUUCUUCCAUGUUCCUCAUUCAGGUUUUGUAAUUAGACACUGAGACGUGCUGUAUGUGCGACUUCAUAGUUUGCAUUGCUCUCCUGAAGUUUCCUCCCCACGCAACCCUCCCCGUGUAUCCCAAAUGUCAGUUCCCAUUCUUUGGGUCAGGAACUGCCGGGGCUCACCCCACCAGGAGUUUUUCCAGGUUUGACCCCACCAGGAGUUUUUCUCCACCAGCUCUUCUGUUCAGGUUUCCCUCUCAAUAGCGGAUGACAGCAGCGGGAUGCCAAAUCCUGGAAGAAGCUGCUGAAGUCUUGGGAAAUGGCACACACGCUCUGCACUAUUACUGAUUGCGCUCGAGCUUUUUCCUGCUAGAAGAAAAUCUGGCCCAUCCUGCCUAACACCCAGCUGUUUGAUCUCUGAGGAUGCCUCUCGCUGGUGACUCGUAUGUGUCCUGCAGUUAAUUAGUUUGCACUUGUCUCUGCAUGUCAGCCCCAAAAAUUCCAUGGAUUUGGAAGAAAUUCUUGUUAUAUGAUCCAGAACUUUUGACUGUAGGCUUUCAACUAGGAUAUCAUCUCACCCCACAUUUUAUUCAAGUAGUUCAUACCUGCCAUGCUGGAGCAACCUUUUACU